RNAcentral lists this long non-coding RNA (511 nucleotides) under Salmo salar (Atlantic salmon). RNAcentral describes it as "lncRNA (ENSSSAG00000092506.1, ENSSSAG00020078418.1, ENSSSAG00075029884.1)". Lineage: Eukaryota; Metazoa; Chordata; Actinopteri; Salmoniformes; Salmonidae. The record is from RNAcentral.
GUGUCUAGAACGCACGAACAAAACGACGCUAUUUGGAUAUAAAGAUGGAUUAUUUGGGACCAAACCUACAUUUGUUAUUGAAGUAGAAGUCCUGGGAGUGCAUUCUGACGAAGACAACAAAAGAAAGUAUGUUUGCAUGUCUCCAGCUCAUGGAGGCCUGAGGAGCGUGUGACCACACUACCAUGGGGAAGCCUUCUGUAUUGAUGGUGACCUCUUUCCAAGCCAAGGGAGGAAGAGACUAAUGGAUAAAUACUGAACAUGUCAUCUAUUCAACAUCAUCCUCACACAUACAUUUACAUUACAUUUUAGUCAUUUAGCAGACGCUCUUAUCCAGAGCGACUUACAGUAGGGAAUGCAUACAUGUUUUUCUCCGUACUGGUCCCCUGUGGGAAUCAAACCCACAACCCUGGCAUUGCAAACACCAUGCUCUACCAACUGAGCCACACGGGACGACCCAGGGUGGCGUUUGUUCUUCUUCAAUUAAUAAAAAAAAAAACUUGCAGUCGAGUGG